CCUACGGGAGGCAGCAGUAGGGAAUUUUCGUCAAUGGGCGCAAGCCUGAACGAGCAAUGCCGCGUGAACGAGGAAGGUCUUCGGAUCGUAAAGUUCUGUUGAAGGGGAAAAAGAGCGGAGAGAGGAAAUGAACUCCGAUUGAUAUUACCCUUCGAGGAAGUCACGGCUAACUACGUGCCAGCAGCCGCGGUAAUAGGUAGGUGGCGGGCGGUAUUGGGUAUGAUUGGGCGUAAAGGGUGCGUUGGCGGCCUGCAAAGUCGGGAGUGAACGGUACCGGCUCAACGGGUAUAGGCUCUGGAAACUGGCGGGCUAGAGAGCAGGAGAGGUAGGUGGAA
This 335-nucleotide ribosomal RNA is filed under the name uncultured bacterium. RNAcentral describes it as "partial 16S ribosomal RNA". It matches the Rfam family "Bacterial small subunit ribosomal RNA", at positions 338 to 666 of the family's 1533-position model. The record is from RNAcentral.